CCUGAAUGAAGAAAAUUAAUGAGAUCUGAGAAAUAUGCUAAUGAAGCAGUACAAAUUGUUUCAUUAAAGAACAGAAACUUUUGAGCCCCACCCACAAACAUUUAAGUCAGUAGAGAGCAAGAAUUUCUCUUUAAAGAUUAAUAUUUUAUAUAUAUUAUUUUCUAAAAGGCUAAAGGAUUGCAUUAAAAUAAUGAAUGAUGCUUAAUUUUAAGGGUGUUUAAAUCUGGCAGAUGCUGUCUAGGAUGAGCAAAAUACCUAUUUGACUAUUUUUGAAUGCCUGGGUAUACUACUUAUGGUACAAAGUAUCACAUAUUAUCUACCAUCUAAGGUGCUGGAAACAGAAAUUCAAGAUGCUUAGAUGGUGCUGUGGUAUCUUCAAGGUUUGUGGGAGAGACCAUAACCAUUAUACAUUUGUUGGCCCAUCCUUUGAGAAGCUCAAGAUGGAAUGGACUGGAUUAACAGAAUAGUGCUUUCUCCUCUCUCUGGGAGAGCCCAGAGGACAGCAGUAUCAGCUGCAGGAGGAUCUGUGUCCACAAGCUUGUGAAGCACUGCCUGGCAGUUCAUUCCUGCAGGAGCAGCCCCAUCAGUUUUUGGCAUAAGCACUGAUAAAGAAUUCAACGUCUACAGGGCAUUCUGGUGAGAACAAUUCUUACUGUACAUCAGUUGAAAAUGGAAAAGCCUCCUUUGACUUUUGAAGAAUUCCUACGUUCUCAAGACUUGAUCUAAAACCAAGGAAACAUGUAUGGAAUAAAUGGAAUCUUGAAAGAUGUAAGGUUACCACUGCAAAUCAUAACAGUAAAGGUGCUGCUGCUGACAAACCAACGAGUGAAUCUUCUCAGAUCCACAGCAGAUCGUCUCAGAAACAAGACAGAGAUGAUGGCCCCUCUCUUCUCCCACUGAAGUCAAUGAUAUUACCAGGUAUUUUAAUUAACUGUCUAAGUACAGGUCAGUGUUAUUUUGAAAAUCCCACACUCCAACUAGUUAACUUCCUAUGCUCAACAUUUUACAUUAAAUUAAAUGAAUUUUAUUUAGUUUUGAUGUACUUUUUGCAGUAAUGUGCACAGCUGCUCAGGCUUGAGCAACAGAAAAGAAAUAUUAGGGUGCCUGAAGAGAACUCAGGACCACAAGAUGUAACACUUGGACAGCAAUGCUAUCAUCACAUCUUUCAAGUAAAUCUAAUUAUUCAAAAGUACUAAAUGAUUUUCUGUACUCAUUAGUUCCUACCAUGAAACACAAAGCUGGGACAACUUAGAGCAUUAUUCUGUUUCCUUUACAAAAAGUGUCUUUUCCUGAUGAAAAGUUUUACAAAAGAUUGAUUUUGUAACAGUAAAAUAAAAAUCACUUUAAAAUCAAAUGCCAAUACUGAGCAUUGCCGUUCUUUAAAUGAUGCCAGCAGUCUCAGGCUGGUAUCCUGUUUGAAGAAGGAAAAUGGAUUCUUUUUAAAGAUCACAUUCUAAAUUUUCCAUCUUGCUGUUUGAAUGCUGUUGCGCUGCUGCAACUGGUUAGUGCUGCACAUCUGGCUGAAUUGUCUUAGACCAGUAUUUCCCCUCAACUAUUGUGUAUGUGUGAUGGCUUUUUUAAAAAACACUGUAUGCAGACUGAACAAUGCCCUAUUGCAGACUGCUGCACACAGUAAUUAGAGAGCAUAUUUUUUCCUGAUUUUGUUUCCAAUGUCAAAAAAGCACUAUUUUUAAAUUAAGCCACCAUGAAAUUCUAAGUAUGUUUUUACAAUAUUUUUCGUGUUAGGGUUUGGUUUUUUUCAGGCCUCUUAAUCUCCUAGGCCCAGACUUCACACUGGAAGUGUUAUCUCAUAAAAUCUCUAAAUUUCAACAACUUUUACUCUGCAGCUGCUAUUUUAAACUUAUAUUUAUCGGGGAAGAGAGCACAUAACUCACAUAUUCUAAUAAAAAUAGUUUCAUGGAAGCAAAACAGAUAAAUGUUCCAUUCAGUAAAAGGUCAGUUUUUCAUAGUUUUGGCUACAGAAGCACUACCAUUCAGCCAAAUUUGAUUCCAAAGCCAGAAGUUCUAUGUCCUGCUGCUGUGCACCAUAGUAUUAAGAUUUUGCACAAGUUCAUCAGACUAAUGGGGGGCAAAAAGCCAAUCUUUUCUCAUAAAAUGACUGAGACAGCACAGCCAAUGACCAAAUGUUGUUACUUAUAAAUACUAUUAUUUACAACCUUUGAAAAUAUAAGUAUCUGAAAAUAGAGGUGAGGGGCAGAGGUGAAGUGAUUAUUUCUUCCAUAAAAACAAGCAAACAAAUACCCAGAGCCCUAAAAGUGCAAGGUCCUGAUUUGGGUUCUGGAAUGCCCACAGUUCUGAUCAGCUAAGAAGUCCGCUGCCACAGGGCAGCUCCCAGCUGCACAGGUUGCAUUCGACACCAGCACAGGAUGCAGCAGGAACCACAGAAGUCACCAGAGCACAUUUUAUGUUUCUGAGGGAUGACAGGCCUAGGCUGCUCUAAUUUAUACUCCCAAAAGCACUGCCUUAUACAGUCCAAUUCUGAACAUAGGAAGUUCCAUAUAAACAUGUGGAAGAACUUCUUUACAGUAAGGGUGAUGGAGCACUGGAACAGGCUGCCCAGAGAGGUGGUGGAGUCUCCUUCUAUGUCUAUCAAAGCACACAAAACCUUGGAUAUAUUAUUGAUUGCUCCUGUGUCGACUACUGGGAAUCCUCAUCUGUAGAUGAAUUGCUCUUUUUCAUCACUGGUGCAAAAUAUUUGGCUGCAGACAGAAGGAGUUCCUGGCAAAAAUGUGGGAUUGUGUCUCUUGUGUAUGUGCAACUAUAUCUGAGAGAAAACAUUAACUUUUAGCACCUUUUUCAACCAGCAGCAAAAGAGAUUUUGGGACACACAAGGACAAACAAAGACACUAAGUGUAGUCUCUGUCUUCCUUUUGUUCCUCUGCAAGUUUCUGUAAAAACGCUAAAGAGAGUUUUGCACCUCUUUUUAGAAUAAGUCUGACAUAAUUCUGCUGAGUACUCACAGGCCUUGGGUAAAUUCAACUCAAGAAACACACUGUAUCGUUUAUUCUCUGAAGAAAGCUCUGCGGUAUUUCUUGGAAUAAUGAAACCUGGCUUCUGGUUUUCCAGUUUCAGAUCUCUACUACCUAGUAAAAGUUGGGCUUUCUAGCCUCUGUCAGUUUUAUGGACUUUGCAGAUACCCGGUUUCUCUCUGUACACGUUCUCUAGUGACUUUGAUCAGGAGUUCCCAAGCUUUGCUCAUUUGGUUACCAUCAUCAGAAAUGCUGCUGACCUGUGAUGUGAGCAAAAGCUUCUUGGCAGGCCAGGUACACGUGUCGAAGAAGCACACUGUCACCUCCAACCCUCUUCCUGCAAACCUCUCAUCCAUCAAAUUGGGACCCUCAGUUGCAUAUUUUCAUCUACCAUUGCACUGUGUCUCACCUCACAAACUACAGCCUUUGCUAAAGGUCUAAUCCCUGACUUACCUUUUGACCACAAACAGCACCAACACAAAGCAACGUGACAGUGACUGUGACUGCAUCCUGUUUCUUGGGAAGCCACUCCAUCUUAUGAACCCUGCUUCCUGCUGCCUUAGCCCUACUUGAAACCUUCCUGAAGCACCCACGUUGAGCUGUGCAGUGUGAAUUGGAUUACUUUGAGCAGAUUAUUGGAGCUACAACCACGCAGAGAAGCCAGCCACAACUGACAACAAAAAAACUUUCUGUGUGGAACUGUUUACCUUAUGGCUUAGAUAAGCGCUUGUAUACAAGCACAGUUAAAGGCUGCCAUCAUCAUGUACCACUUUAAGUUGGCUUCGUACCAUAAUUUCUGACUUACUUAGACAAUAGGCAAAAAUAUGCAUAACAGUCAUAUUUAGAUCUGCUCUUUUCUCUUCCUGACAAUGUUCUAAUUUAAGAUCCUAGUUUCACUUAACCAGACAUUUUUACUGGAGAGAACUUCAUUCCCAUACGGCACUUUCAAGGACCAUGACUCCUCCAAUAAUUUUCAUGACAUGAGCCAAAUUCUGCUAGCACUUGUAUUGGUAACAGGUCACAUACUUGGGGUUUGUUUUUAGACUAAUGUUUGUUUAAAAAAGUGAGGAAUACAUUUUGGAUUAUAUGCAUGUUCAUUCCAAAAAAACUGUGAAAAGAGUAAGGAGAAUCAGAUGGAAGAAUUUUACCUCUACUUUGUGCUGAUUAUAUAAUUUAUCAAAAAAAAAAAACAAAAAACUGUUCCACAGGCCUCCAACAGAUGCUCUGCUGUUAGAGCCAUGAAAAGUCAUUCAGGGAGAGGGUAAAGGCCUCGGGGGUGUGGUCCACAUCCUUUAGCACAUAUAUCCUCAGUCCUGGCCUGCAGAUAGCACAUCUGGUCCAGGCAUGGACCUGACGGUUGGCCAAAACACAGGCUUACAAUAAUGCUCCUUUUUCAGCUUUAAUGUAAGCCUGUUUUCUUGCCAAAUUCAAAUCCUGCCAAAAUUUGGCCAAAGAUGUUUGCUCAAUUGUGCAAUAUCUUAAGUUUAUAUCCAACAACUCUUUGCAAAAACAAUUGCAUCGUGUUUUUAAUGUUUACAGGCAUCAACAAUAUUUAAUUUUAAGUAGAAUUUUACUGCUGACACUCUUGUGUUUUACAGUAAAUUACCUUAGAGAGGGUUUUUCCAUUAGCUUUUAGGGUCACGAGUCCUGCACAGCACACCAAAGCACUGGAGCUAGAAAGACCAGAACUUGGAGGGAUGGUUCCAUCUAGCAGACAAUUCAUUCCAGUUGGGUUAUUAAGACCAAAAUGUUCCUAACAAUGAAAAAAUAAACAAUCUCAGUUUCAAGUACAGACAGGCUCAGGCUUGCAAUUAUCUGAUACUUAGAAAGAGAAUCUUUCUGCUAAGUUGCUGGAACCAAAGACCUGCUUCUGGUAUCUUCAAAAUAAAGCAGAAUUUUCAUUCUGUUCUUCCAGAACAAAGCCAAUGGUAGGGCUUCAGCCAAAGGUAUGUUUGCAAUUCCUGUACACUAACAUAAAUGGGCUGACAGAACUGUACCCCAAGCAGAAUUCAGGGUGAGCUAAAUGCCCAGGAAUUUACCAAGCUUCGUGGGUGGGUUUUACAGCACUGGCUCAGCUCUAAGCUGUCAUGGUGAUGGUACCAGAGGUUACGUCUGUUUUUGUCCUUUUCUCCUCAGCUCCUCACUUUAUGCAUCCUGAAGUGCACAAAGUCCACUUCACGCCUUACUUUUAAUGCAGGCAUGUGGUAUUGAAGAGCCACAUCAUGCUGAUCAGGAACUAGUAGCCAUUUACCCAAGUUCAAAGCCAAAUACUGCUAUCUCCUGUAUUAUCCAUGGUACUGGCACUGAGAAAACCACAGUGGUACUUGAAAGACGUUAUGCUUUGGAAGGAACCAGCACUGAUAGUAUCUGUCAUGCUAUCUCUAGAAUAAAUAAUGAAACACUUUACAUACAUGGCAAACUACCACAGAUGAUACACUUAGCAGAGAAGUCAUAAAUCCUUGUGCAUAUAUUUUUUAAUUACUCUGCAGUCACUUUUUUUUUUUUUAAUUUACCAUAACUCUAAAAUUUUGCAAAAUACAUACAAAAAUCUUAGAAUAUAUAUAGUGGAUACAUUAAUAGCUACAUUGUGAUACAGAUUUAUAUGUUAACAAACUAUGUUAUCAUAACCAGACAAAUACUCUCAAUGAUCAGAGUGAUAGCUGUGUUUUUCCUUACAGAAAUGCCCACCUUCAAAAGAUUUCUACUUUUCCUGAAAUAACUUCAACCAUAAAUACCAAAGGUGGAGACCAGAAAACACAAAACACCUCCUUUAAUGUUUUCUGCUAUCGCUUCAGAUUAAAAUUUCCCUUUCUACAAAUAGAAGGGAAUUCAUAUCUGAAAUACUACUUCUGCCCUUCAUGAAGAACACUAGACAGGCUUGUUCAAAAACAGAAAAUGCUUCAGUAACCAGAAACUGAUCCACAGUUUCUGGACUGUCUUGAAUGUGAAUCAGGCUUGCAAACUUAUCACGCAAUGUUUAAAUAGAAAACGUACUUCAGUCUCAAAAAUGAAAAUGGACUUUGCCAAGUUCUGCAAUAGUUCUGUCCCAAAAGGAUAGCAUGUUCAACUCAAUAUAAACAGAUUAUCCCGCCGGACCCUCUAAAUACUUGUAUUUCAGUGUUUCUUAAGUCUGUAACAUUUGUGCUCAUUUUCUGCCAGCACCAGAGUCUGAAAACCUGCUUUGCAAAUUAACCUUCAAGUAUAAAAGUUUGUCUUUAGGAAACAAAUCUCAGUAGCAGACUGCAAAACAAGUCAGUUGGUCAUGCUAGCCUUAAUACAAGAAAAGAUAUACUGCAAAAAAAUUAAUCUGUAUCUCUACCUCUAGAGUCAAUGCAAUUUAAAUGCAUAAUACUGAGCUAUACAAAAUUGAGAACAUUCAUGUUACCGCAAACAUAUUUAAGGGUAGCAAGGGCAUGCUAAACAUGGUGUAUGGGGGUCUGUUUAGGAGCUGUGGAUAAUCAUAAAGUGAUUUGGUCCAAAUAUCUUCUUUUGACGAUACAAGUGCCAGAUCUGAUGCGGGCUUUCUUGGCUGUUUGCAGUGCUUAUCUAUUGGACCAUUCUGUGGGGUAACUUAGAUGGCCCACCUAGAGGCAAAUUUCAAAAGCACAUUUUUCCUUAAUUUGAGCUGGCUGUAGAGACCUGACCUUGCCAUCACUGUUUAUCCCAUCUGUCCCUUCAGAAAAGUCUCUAGACUGACAUUGGGUUGAGAAGUUACUGUGUUUUUUAACUCAAAGGCCAUGAAUCACCUGCAGAUGACAGGUGAGAUUUAUAAGAAGCCCCAGUUCUGAGUUCAGGCUGCUUCCCAGGACAAUACUGACAAUCAGCAGUUGGUAUCACAAGCAGUUCAGUCUUCAAGCCAGUCCGGAGACAGGCCAGCUCACAGAGGAGAAGAUAAAGCUCAAGUGAGCAGACAGGAAAACGUCUGUCUGUUCAGUGUUCCAGCCUUUACCGUACGUGUGCUGUUUCCUGCAUAGCUGCACUCUUAACUCACUUAGGAAAUUUUGAAAUUCCCAUUCAAAUUCCACACUGUAAGUCUUGAAUAAGUAAUGAUUCUUACUGGAUUAUUCCUUCUGUAUGCAGUUUAUUUACUUUAAUGAUUUCUUUUACCUCCUGCAUGAGUCAGCUUCACUCAGUUGCUGGCCAUGAGUUGUAGGUUCUCUGCGCUAAUGGAAAUUAAUUGUGUUUUUUAAAAUGUUUCCAUGGGAGGAAAAGGACUAAAAUAUAACCUUUGUGUUCUGGCAGACAAGCCUCUGAACCUUUCAAAAGCAAGCUUUAAUUACGUGAUUCCAUUGGGAAACAUUCCUCUUUACUCUAAAAUAUAGAAAUGCCAUCUUGAUUCAUGAGUUUGACCAUGACUUUACUAAAUAAGUAACUGUUUGUUAACAUAAUGUAAGUAAUAAAUAUGAAUAUUGCACUCUGCAAUAUUUUAAAACAAAACCACUCAAAUCUCCUCUUCAAAUAAUUGUAUAUUAAAAAAGAAAAAAGAGAGAGAGAGAGAGAGAAUGCAGGGAAGUAUGUAAGUAUGUUGAAGGUAAAUAGAUACGCUUCUCAUAAUUUACUUCUGCAUUAAUUUUGUAAGUUAAAUGAAUUGGCUUACCUGAAUGCCCUUCAGUCCACACAAGAAGUAGCUGUGCCACUGAGGCUUGGUUUUGUUAAUCUGAAUGUUAUUGACACUAGUACUGAAAUCCCUGCAAAAACAGAAAAACCUUGUGGCUUAAACUUGUCGGUACCUUUAGUGUGAAAAAAACCACAUGGCUUAUUACUGCCAUCUGCUGAUGCACAAAAGCAUUUCUAUGUUAAUCAUUUAUUUCAGUACAACAUUUGGUUUUUCAUACAGAUCUUCAUUAGUCAGUUCUAAAGUAUAUUUUAGAUAGAAGUAUAAAGUUUUCCUUAAUAUAUAGGGGUAUUUUUACAUAAAUUCAGGAAAUAAACUGCCCUUAGCACCCUUUGUCAAGGCAGCAUAACUUCCAUCACAGUUGUAUAAGCUCUCUUGAAUCUCUUUGAGAAAUAUAACUCUAAGUAAUCACUUUGUCAAACCUAGAAUAGAGAUAAAUAUUCUUCAGGCUUUCUUGUGAUCCCUGCUCAGGAAUUAAUCAUCAUUUGCCCUGAAUGGCAGGUCACUAAAAUGGGCAUAUUGCUGCAAAAUUUUGUUAUGUAUGUUACAGGAUACAAUUAAAAUAACAGUUUAUCCACUCUCGGGAUUUUUUAUCUAUCUCCAGGAUAAUGCUGAUAAUGGUUUUCCUACUGAAUUUUGAAAUAAUAAAAGUGUUAAAAUGGUAAACUUGAAUGUUCCUAAAGGAACCAGUGCUACAGAUAGGUUCUCUGUAAUGUACCCAUGUACAGUGAUGUGCAGAGGCCUUGGAGAUGCAUGCAUUAAUCAACACACAAAGCAGACUGUUUAUGAGUCUAUAUUGUCAAACACCCAAUAACUGUAUCUGAAGCCAGUACAGCAGAUGCCCAACAAAGAAAAAGUAAAGGUGCUCAGAAUGUCAGGAAAAGCUAAAAAUAUUAUUAAAACCUGGCAGGCUGCAAUUUUUGUGCUCAUACAAAUAUACAGUCUAAUGCUAGCUAUGUACUGCCAGUAUACAACCUACAGAUCUCACACUUCAAGUAUCAGCUUAGAGUGACCACUUUGCAGCUUAUACAUUCCAUUUCAAUAUUCAGUACAGUACAAAGCUAUCACACUUCGCUAUACUGUUUCAUAAGUUGCUCUUUUUCAACGUGAAUGGUUCUGAAUAGUGCCACUUACUGGACUUCAUCAGCAGUGCAGCACUGAAGAGUUGUACAAAGGUAAGUGCAAAUUAUUGGUGACUGCAGAGUAAUAAGAAAGAUCUGAAAGGGAAUGUUAAGAUUACAAUACAGGGAAUGUUCAAGAAUAGCAGUAAAUUCUUCCAAUUUUGGUUCAUGUGUCUUUGGAACAGUCUUCCAGAUAAUAAAACAAAAUUGUUUCUCAUAUGGCUUUUAAACAAAAUGAGAACAAUAAAGUACAGUAAAAUAUGAUUGUCAAAAUUCAUGAAGAAUAAAAUAAUGCUAUGCUUGCUUCUGCUUGGUUUACACAAAAAUGGUUAUUUUUAAACAGCAAAAAUGAUGCAAAACAUUGUGUAAUUAUCAAAGGAAAAUGGAUUUGAAGUCCUCUUUGAAAAGCAGUUAUAAAAUAUUUUAUCUCCAUCGUUAUUUUUGUACAAUCAUAUGAAGUUAAGCUUAAAUGAACAAAAGACUUAUACUAUGGGAUAUAGUUGCUGGUUUUCUAGAUAAAUGAAAGUAACGACUUCUUAAAAUGCAUUUUGCGUAUUUCUUAAGUCUUCUCACACGGAAAAAGAAAGAAAAGUUGGCUUUGAAUUUGGCAAGUUUCACAUGCACAUAAUUCAUACAAACACAGGAUGUGGAACUGGCAAGGUCCCCAGAAUGCUUAAGUCUAUUUUUUUUUUGUUAUCACAUUCAAUUUGUUAUAAAAACUCAUUCCUAAAUGUCCAAACUUUAUCUUAAAUCAGUAAAUCUUUAGUCUUGCCUUUUGUCCCCAUACUGGCAGGUAGGCAGCUUGAUAUAAGUACUUGGUUAAAGAAACAACAAAAAAGUAAGCAGAAUUUACCACUGAGGUAAAAAUACUCCAAUAUUUCUAUUCCACACCUGCUAUUUGACAUGGGGAUCCCCUCCUCCGGUACUAAAUAGAAACAUUUAAUUGGUCUGCUUAAUUAGAAGAGAGCAGUUUUUUAAAUAAUGUGAAGGAAACACAUGGGUGAUGUGUUCUUCUCUCCUUGAUUAGUAAUUAAUCUUUACUUCUGAAGACCAAUUUGGCAUUUUCUCACAGACCCUCUUAAAGAAAAUUUCAGGUUAUGCCAUUAAUUAUCAUUUUUUGAUAUUUCUGAAAGCAUUUUGUAUGUGUGUUUCUCAAUUAUAAAGUUGCUACGUGAAAGGAAGGUAUCCAGAAUUUCAAGUCUUUAACUUUUGAAGAGCAUCUUAAUCUACAUAAUAAUUAACAAUGAUUUAAUCAGUUGGGAUGCUUUAUGACGAAAAGCAAACACAACAGUGUUUUGUUUUUCCUAAAAUUAACACAAGCAAUGGGAGUGGAUGAGAGCUACAAACUGUUACACAUUUUACCAGUUCAAAAACAAGAAUGGAAUAGAUAGCAGUGAUUUUACAUAGGCUUAUGGUUGGUCCUUGUUAGUGGAAGAUAUUCACCACAGGUUUAUGCCAGGGCAACAGUCUGGGGAAAAGAUACACUGUCAACAAUUUUGUUGUGUGAUGUAACAUUACAAGUGCUGAAAACUAUUUGUUAUGAAAUUAUGGGCAUGUUUUCACUUUGUUUUUAAGCAACAGUGUCUCAACAAAAGAGAGAAUGUUUAAUGCCAUGUUCUGAAAUCUCUUCUUGGCUUAUAGUUUAAAAUGUAUGAUUUCAAAAUGAAACCAAAGCAGAUAUAUAAAAAUAGUGACUGUGCAGAUAAUUUGAAUACAAAGGCUGUAAUUCUAGAUGAGGUAGAAACUGUAUGUGCCUCAGAAAGCCAUUUCAAUUGCUCUGUAAUGUGCCAAAGCUCAAAGACCACGUGAAAACAUUUACCUUUUGGUUACUGCUUUAUUUAGUAUCCUUUAUAACAACUUUCCCAAAUCAAAGCUGUUGCAGUUCUGGAGCUUUGUCUUGCAGAAUGGUUUUGCAAUAUAGCAGGUUUCUUCUACUCAGAGGUAAAGGUCCCACUCAGUUUCCUUCCCCCCUGCUCACCACUGCAUGUUCCCACUGUUAGCCCUGAGUUGGCUUUUUGUGCUGAGUGCAUUACAAUUCAACUCACUAAAAUGACAGAAAAUUAGCCAGACAAAAAAAUGGGUGAACAGCACACUUUAUCCUAAGGUCAGACAAAUACUACACCUGCUAAAAGGCAGAGGGUGUAUCGAUGUUGGAAAUGCAGAUUAGGAAACUGCGGAUAAAAUAAACAAAGCCAGGGCAUUCCCACUUGGGAGUGGCAAUCUCUUAAUUCAGCCCAGUCAUAUUGUGAAAAUAUACUCCACAAAGUGAGGGUAAAGUAUUUCAAUAUUUAUAUGAUGUAUGGAAGUGAAAAUUGGUUUUAACUGCUUAACCUGCAAGCGGCAUCUCAGAACAUAUCAUUAUAAGAUUUGAGCUUUAAGCAGGCAUAGAUUGCUUGCCACUCCUGGCACUGUGUUCCUGUCCCUGUGCUGCCAUAUACAUAGGAGUUAUUUGCUAUUGGCUUAAAGCAAUGAAGCUGGUGCUGAUUUGAUUUUUGCAAAAUGCCCAUGAAAUUUCAUGUGGAUGAGUGACCUGAUCUGAACUAUCAAGCAACCACACAAAUAUCAGUUCGUUUACAAAGAAGGAAGUGGAAAAAAUGCAGCAGGAACUGAAAAGAAUGGCAGGAAUAUUUCCAUAUGUUCAGUACUUGUGAGCGCACAUCUAGAAUACUCUCUUCAGUUUGGGGGCUUCCCAGUAAGAGAAAGAAAUUGGCAAACCGUAGGGAGUCCAGCAUAAGGCCAUCAUGAUGGUUAUAAAGGUACUGGAGCACAUCACUUAUUAAAAAGAGGAGAGGACAGCUGGUUUUAUUCAGUCUGCAAAAGAAGAUUAUAGUGGACACUCUAAUUUGUGUCUUUGACCACUCAUCACAUGGCUCCACUGAAGAUAUAACCAAACUCUUCUUAUGCAUAUACGGAGAAAUGAUGUAACUGACAAACUGCAGCAAGGAAAAGAUACAAUUAGACAUGAAGAAAAUACUCUUCACAACAAGGGCAUCCAAAUUGGAGAAAAAGUUGCUCAAAGAGCUUAUGGAGUUUCUAGCUUUGGACAUAAUCAAAACUUUAAUUAACAGUGUCCUGAACAACCUGCUGUAACUUUUCCAUCAGCCACAGAUUGGACCAGAUGAUCUCCAAAGGGCCCAUAAAAUCUAAAUUAUUCAAUGAUUCUGUGUGCAAGCAGCUGUGGAGGAAAUGGAAGAGGGAAUACAGCAUCUCUGAUCAGGGAUCAUUGCUAAAGCCCUCGUGUUGUGAAAAUACAGCCCCAGGUUCUCCAGCGUGAGGGAGUGUUAGCUUAUAUAUGCAGUAAUUGAUUACAAAACAUUUCACUCCCUUCCCCAGGAGAAACUGAACUGCUGCCAGUAGAGAAGGUUACAUCAAGAAAGAUGAGCUAACAGAAGAGAGGGUUGCACUUCCAGAGUGACUGAAAAUGAGUGGGAGACAGGAGCAGAGAACUUAUUGCUCUAAACCAAUAUGCACAGCGUUGAUCAAAUUGGAUGGAUUCCAUUUGAUUGUAUCACUCCAUGUACACAAUUAAACUCCAUACUGCAAUCUAAGUUUGUCAGAAGUUAACCUAUCAUACACUUGCAUUAAGAGGUUCAUAAAAACUUGUGAAUAAACAAAGCAAUUACUUACAAGUACGAAGAAUUUAUAUUGGCCAAUUGCACAACUUCAGUCUUUACAGGUUCUACUGCAAUCAAGAUAUCUUGUUCUAUAGCCAUCGGGAGCACGGCAUAACCACAGUAGUCUAUGUGUUCUCCUACCAAGGAGACAGAGAAUUAAAGAUAUUUUUAUAUAAGUCUUUCUAGAGUAACAGAAACAAGGCUUGUACAGACCUCAGUGUUGUUUUCUAUAUUAGACAACUUCUGAGUAUAGACUCAAUUCUUACUAUUUAAAGUACAUCUGAUAGUUUGGGGUAUAUUUCCUCCAUUUUGUAUUUCCACACAAAGACUUCUCUUUAGUGACUUUAUCUAUUCCAUCUAUUUGCAAAUCUUCAUUUUUUAACAUUGGGUUAUGAAAAUUAAAGACCUCUACAAAUACUAUUGUUCAGAAUGAGAACAACUACAUUUUUUGUACGCUUUUGUGUCAGCAUGAAAAAAUAAUUCUAUUGGUGACAUUUAACUGAUGACUGGAAGAGAUAAAGGCCGUACACGACUUCCAUUAUGUGGUUUCCUCUGCACGUGUGGCAGAUUCAUCAGCUGCUGGACAAAGCAAGUGGAGGCCUUUCUUUCCAUAAAGAUUCUGAACUUUUUUCCAAGAAAAUUAUAGUUAUAGUAAUAACUAACACAGAUACAUACAACACACAAGGUGGCAUUCAGACAUGAAAUGCAUGUAGUGAACAUCUGCCUUUAUGAACAAGACAGCAAACACAUGCUGUUUAGGUGUAUGCAGAACACCAAGAUAAAAGUUAUCAUUAGUUGCACAAUGGAUUAAUUAACUUUAAAGCUCUGUUUUCUGAAGUUCUUUAACUUACAAAGUCUACAUAUGCAUAUGGUUACUUGUUUUAAAUACACAAGAAAUUGAGCUCUAGGGAAAGCAAAAACCUAACACAGAGAAAUUUAAAGAUAAAGAUAAUAAGGCUGUCAUAGAAACACAGGUAAGGUUUGGAUAAAUAAUAAUAGUGUCUCUCUCACUCCAGGCAGCCAGUGAAUCGCAACCAGCUGUUCUGUGGAUACAUCUCUAUUGCUGAGUGAAGAACAGAGCAUGGCAGAAUCAUUUCAUGCUUCAUCAGAUGCAUUGCUGUUUGGCCGGUUUAUGUGGUAACUGCACUUACUUAAGCAACUUAUCUAGGAAAAAAAUUUUUUUUAGAUUAUAUGUUUUAAAUUACAAUACUUUUGUGAUGGCAGAUAAAAUAACAAAAGAUUAA
This is a non-coding RNA of Coturnix japonica (Japanese quail), 13584 nucleotides long. The record is from RefSeq and is a predicted model, not a curated record. Lineage: Eukaryota; Metazoa; Chordata; Aves; Galliformes; Phasianidae.